AACCAUAGAAACCUGCGGAGUACCUGCGGAGGGAUCAUUAUCGAGUUGCAAAACUCCAACCCUUUGUGAACAUACCUCAGUCGUUGCUUCGGCGGUGGACGGCCUUUUUUCGAAAAGGCCCGAAGCCGCCGGAGGUUCCAAACUCGUGUUUUGUUUAGUGUAUCUCUGAGCCUGAAAACAAAUAAUCAAAACUUUUAACAAUGGAUCU
RNAcentral lists this unclassified non-coding RNA (208 nucleotides) under soil metagenome. RNAcentral's name for it is "partial contains 5.8S ribosomal RNA, internal transcribed spacer 2, and large subunit ribosomal RNA". The record is from RNAcentral.